RNAcentral lists this ribosomal RNA (909 nucleotides) under uncultured bacterium. Its description in RNAcentral is "bacterial SSU rRNA". It matches the Rfam family "Bacterial small subunit ribosomal RNA", at positions 33 to 937 of the family's 1533-position model. The record is from RNAcentral.
ACGCUAGCUACAGGCUUAACACAUGCAAGUCGAGGGGCAGCAUGUUGGUUGCUUGCAACCAAUGAUGGCGACCGGCGCACGGGUGAGUAACGCGUAUCCAACCUACCCAAUACUCAGGCAUAACCCGUUGAAAGACGGACUAAUUCCUGAUGGUAUGUAUUUUUCUCAUGAAUUAUACAUUAAAGAAUUUCGGUAUUGGAUGGGGAUGCGUCUGAUUAGUUUGUUGGUGAGGUAACGGCUCACCAAGAUAUCGAUCAGUAGGGGUUCUGAGAGGAAGGUCCCCCACAUUGGAACUGAGACACGGUCCAAACUCCUACGGGAGGCAGCAGUGAGGAAUAUUGGUCAAUGGAUGCAAAUCUGAACCAGCCAAGUAGCGUGCAGGAUGACGGCCCUAUGGGUUGUAAACUGCUUUUAUGUGAGAAUAAAGUUAGGUAUGUAUACUUAUUUGCAUGUAUCACAUGAAUAAGGACCGGCUAAUUCCGUGCCAGCAGCCGCGGUAAUACGGAAGGUCCAGGCGUUAUCCGGAUUUAUUGGGUUUAAAGGGUGCGUAGGCCGUUUGAUAAGCGUGCUGUGAAAUAUAGUGGCUCAACCUCUAUCGUGCAGCGCGAACUGUCGAACUUGAGUGCGUAGUAGGUAGGCGGAAUUCGUGGUGUAGCGGUGAAAUGCUUAGAUAUCACGAAGAACACCGAUUGCGAAGGCAGCUUACCGUAACGUUACUGACGCUUAAGCACGAAGGUGCGGGUAUCGAACAGGAUUAGAUACCCUGGUAGUCCGCACAGUAAACGAUGGAUGCUCGCUGUUGGUCUUUUUGGUCAGUGGCUUAGCGAAAGCGUUAAGCAUCCCACCUGGGGAGUACGCCGGCAACGGUGAACUCAAAGGGAAUUGACGGGGCCCGCACAAGCGGAGAAC